Syngnathoides biaculeatus (alligator pipefish) is the source of this 1107-nucleotide long non-coding RNA. RefSeq lists it as uncharacterized. NCBI's taxonomy places the organism in Eukaryota, Metazoa, Chordata, Actinopteri, Syngnathiformes, Syngnathidae. The record is from RefSeq and is a predicted model, not a curated record. The transcript has 3 exons.
GCGUCGGUUUGUCUCGAUGUGCCCUGCGAUUGGCUGGCGUCAAGUUCAAGGGUGUACCCCGCCUCCUGCCCGUUGACAGCUGCUAUAGGCUCCAGCACUCCUGCGACCCGAGUGAGGAUAAGCGGCUAAGAAAAUGGAUGGAUGAGCGGAGGCUCAAACUGAAAGUGGAGCCCAUUUCAAAUCUCACGUAUUUCAUCUGAAAUAUGCCAUUGUGCUUCGUCUCCUCAACCACUCGUUACUGUGCCUCCGUCUCUGAUUGUCCCGAGCCGUAGUGAAACUUUAACAAGCAGCGCUUAGUAAACCGUGUCACACUGGCUUCUUCACACCAUUAAUCACAAGGGGCACCGAGGAUUUACUUCAGACAAAAGGCUUUUGUGUUUUAGAAGUUGAGAAAUACGUUUAAGCCUGGAUCAGACGACAAUAAAAGAAAAAUUUGCUCUAUCAAGAUUGCACUAUGAAAAUGUGGCCAGAUCUCGGUCACCGCACGACACCUAUUCCGAUAUCACCAUAUCUCGUCUGUAACGAUCACUGAGGUUUACAUUGUCAAAUCAAUCACUAUGGCUGGGUUGCACGUGACGUCACGCUUGUUCAUCCGGGUACUUGACCGCCAUUGUUGCAGACAAGCAGUCGGCUGUCCGUCGUCAUCGUGCCGGAUUUUUGUUGCGUCCACGGAUGUGGAAAUCGCGGAAACAGAGACAUUGGGAAGCGAUUUUUCCGUCUUCCAUAGAUUAGAUUGCAUGAAGGAGAAGAUACAAUGGAGUUAUGGAAAAGACGGCAAUAAAAGUGGCUUGCAAAUAUACGACGUGCAGAUCCGAACGAAGCUCGAGUACACAAGAGUGGUGGUAUGGUGGUGGCGGCACGGUGGAUCAGCUGGAAAGCGUUAACCUGCAUGCUUUAGCUUUGCUAAAGCUCCAGCACUCCUGUGAUCCUCGUGAGGAUAAGCAGCUGACAAAAUGGAUAAAUAGAUGGAUGGAUGGUGGAACCAUAAUGCCAGACGAUGACGAGCGACGUCCGAUCUUUUCAAAUUCAUACCUGCCGCAGCAUUGAUGAUCUCCUCCACGGCAGCAGCGGCGGCAGGUGAUGAGGAGGAUGGAGGCGAAGAUCAAC